This is a long non-coding RNA of Tupaia belangeri chinensis (Chinese tree shrew), 275 nucleotides long. RefSeq lists it as uncharacterized. The record is from RefSeq and is a predicted model, not a curated record. The transcript is spliced from 3 exons. NCBI's taxonomy places the organism in Eukaryota, Metazoa, Chordata, Mammalia, Scandentia, Tupaiidae.
GCAUCAAUAUCAGACAGCAAAAGGGAAGGAAAGAAGAAAGCUACAGGAAGAAGGAUAAAAAGGAUUUAAAAGAAUAAUGUCCAACUAUGGCACCAAAUACUUUUCCUCUACAUAGGGAAGAAAAUAUACAAAGCACUUGAAAAACUGCCUUGAGAGAUGAUCUAAUUGUUAGCUGGAUAACUGAAAAUACAGCCAGACGUCAUAAUAUCCCUGGACAAGAAACUGAAGAAUGUUUCUCUGGAGAAACGAGCCUGAGAGAGAGAAAGAAAUGGGAG